This 230-nucleotide unclassified non-coding RNA is filed under the name uncultured fungus. RNAcentral's name for it is "sequence contains ITS1, 5.8S rRNA gene". The stretch from base 182 to 230 matches the Rfam family "5.8S ribosomal RNA", at positions 1 to 49 of the family's 154-position model. Lineage: Eukaryota; Fungi. The record is from RNAcentral.
UCUCCGUAGGUGAACCUGCGGAGGGAUCAUUACUGAGUGAGGGCUCACGCCCGACCUCCAACCCUUUGUGAACCAAACUUGUUGCUUCGGGGGCGACCCUGCCGACGACUUCGUCGCCGGGCGCCCCCGGAGGUCUUCUAAACACUGCAUCUUUGCGUCGGAGUUUAAACAAAUUAAACAAAACUUUCAACAACGGAUCUCUUGGUUCUGGCAUCGAUGAAGAACGCAGC